RNAcentral lists this ribosomal RNA (492 nucleotides) under uncultured bacterium. Its description in RNAcentral is "partial 16S ribosomal RNA". It matches the Rfam family "Bacterial small subunit ribosomal RNA", at positions 29 to 507 of the family's 1533-position model. The record is from RNAcentral.
AGUGAACGCUGGCGGUAGGCCUAACACAUGCCAGUCGAACGGCAGCACAGUAAUAGCUUGCUCUUACGGGUGGCGAGUGGCGGACGGGGGAUGAAUACAUCGGAAUCUACUUUUUCUUGGGGGAUAACGUAGGGAAACUUACGCUAAUACCGCAUACGACCUACGGGUGAAAGCAUGGGAUCUUCCGACCUUGCGCGAUUGAAUGAGGCGAUGUCGGAUUAGCUAGUUGGCGGGGUAAAGGCCCACCAAGGCGACGAUCCGUAGCUGGUCUGAGAGGAUGAUCAGCCACACUGGAACUGAGACACGGUCCAGACUCCUACGGGAGGCAGCAGUGGGGAAUAUUGGACAAUGGGCGAAAGCCUGAUCCAGCCAUACCGCGUGGGUGAAGAAGGCCUUCGGGUUGUAAAGCCCUUUUGUUGGGAAAGAAAAGCAGCAGGUUAAUACCCCGCUGUUCUGACGGUACCAAAAGAAUAAGCACCGGCUAACUUCGUG